AGAGCCCCCCAGCCGCCUCUUCUGAGGGGCAAGCUGGACUCAGCUUGGUUUGGACAACAUUGUGGGGGGGCUUUUGCCCUGAGGCGAAGGACAAAGACCGGAGCCCCUCCCAGCCUCGCUUUUCCUCCCGGGUGCCACUGGGGCUGCCCUGUACUCUCAAGGGCACCAAGCCACCUGCAGCCAGGCAAGCCGAGACCUGUUGCCAGAAGCCAAACACGGGAGACAUCACUGCGCGCUGGCAGGAGGGGGGGGGGUGUCUGCCAGGCACUCCAUAAGGCAGGCACUGACAGAACCAGGGCCAGAUUCGGCACUCAUGCAAAGCCACACGGACGGAGGAUGGUUCUGCAAGCAGCGGGUGCAAACAAGCAAGGCAUGCAAGCCCAGGCCUCAGGCACAUGCAACGACGGGAAGGAAGCAGAGCUGGAAGGAGGCAGCGGCGGAGGUUCCCUUCCCCCCCACAUCCCCGCUGAGGUUCGGAGCUUGUGUCUCAGGGUCAGGAGGAAGGAGCCCCCACCCCUGGAAACAGCAACAGCUGGAGCGACUGAGGGGCAGACCAAGACAGCUGAGGAUGUGCUUCACUGAAGGGUAACCAUAGCAACGCCGAGAGCGCUGAGGAGGAUGCUGGCUGGUAACCAGGGGCCGCUCCCGCAGCAGCCGGACGGAUCCCGCCGCCAGGACUCCGCGCGUGGCCCGCCCCGCCGGCAGGCAGGACCGGUGGCGGCCGCCCUCUAGCCCAGCCCCGUCGCCGUGGAGAGGGAGACGCCGGGCCUGCCGGGCUCCGGAAAGGAAGGGCAGCCGUCGCAGACCAGCCGGGCGCUCCUCCCUUCGCUUCUCGGGACGGGACGAGCGGAGCGGAGCGGAGCCGCCGCCGUUCCUCCGGGCCUGCUUGGGCUUCGCCCCGCUCCGGCUCUCGCCCGCCUCCCUCCGCCCAGGGGACGGGGACGGGGACGGGUCGGGCCGCUGAGUUCCGCCGAACCUCCGGCCGCGCAGCCUUGCAAGGUAGGCCGCCGGGGCCUCUCUC
Non-coding RNA from Pantherophis guttatus, 1021 nucleotides. NCBI's taxonomy places the organism in Eukaryota, Metazoa, Chordata, Lepidosauria, Squamata, Colubridae. The record is from RefSeq and is a predicted model, not a curated record.